AAACUUUAGCUUACCUCUCCUUUAACUAACUAACCACACUGUAGAUAAAAAUCAUAUUUUUAUAGCAAACUUUCGAAGGGAUUACAAACUGUGUUUGUAGAAACUAUUUUCAUCAUUAAAAUCUCUGUAUUGUGUAUUAAAUGCCUCUGAGAGUUUUUCUUAUUUUUCUAUUAUUUAUUACAGUCUAAAUCAUUUAUGACUCAUUUAUGAUAGUGUUUUAUUUUAAUUAUAAUUCCACCUUAUGUAAUAAUGCUGUAUUUUGAUUGGAUGAGAACCAUGGUAUUUUUCACCAAUUUCUAUAUAUAUUGAGAUUUUCUUUUCUCUGCCGGGGUAUUUGCCAUUAGGGAAUUCCAUAUGCCGGGGUAUUUGCUAGCAAAUACCAUGUCAGAUGGGAAAUACCCUAGCAAAUACCAUGGCAGAUGGGGAAUACCAUGUCUAAAAAUAACUCAAUGAAUUAUUUCUAUUCUAAUAUGACAAAUUCAUGGUUCUAGAUGAAAUAUUUAGGAUAAAAAGCAUCAUUAUUGAAUUUGGAUCGAAUGACAUAAAAAUUACGGGAAUGACGUCAUAAAUAAAACUCAACGGAAACGAAUUGUCAACCGGUCACAAAAAACUGGAAUCCAUUUGUAUUAAGCUUCACUGAAACUGAUGAACAAAGUGAAUUGAUCAGCCGAGAACCAGCUUAUUAUCAUAAAAAUGGAGAUAUAUAUACAGUCAGUGACUGAUCAUAAAAAAAAUUAUAAGAAAUGAGUAUACGGUGAAAGCAAUUUGACUGCGCAAAUAGCACAGCUGCAGUGUAUACACAAAUUAUACAUUCAAGUCAAAAUUUCAUAUGAUACCUGAUUAUAAUAAACUUUCUGAGGUGGAACAUUCGGUGGAAUUAAACAAUUAUAUCAUGCUUACAAGGGGUAUUUGCCAAAAACACCGGUUUCGAGGUAAUCAAAUUUCCCUCGCCUAACGGCUCUGGAAAUUUGUACCUCUCAACCGGUAUUUUUGGCAAAUACCCCUUGUAAGCAUGAUAUAUUUGUAUAUAUACUCCAGAUUUAUUAUUGUUUGUUUGGUACUAGUUUUCCCGGAUUUUGUUGGCACAUAUGUAUUUAAGGUAGACUAUGACAUUUUUAAAAUGUUCAACAAAGCUCACAUUUCCUAAAUAUAUUUUUGCAGAAUUUUUUUAGAAUCAUGCAACCAAACAUCCAUGAAAAUAAAAUUUUCUCUUAAUCCACAAAAUUGUUGCAAAUAAAUAAAUUAUAACGAGAACAUCAACAUUCCCUUAUAGUCUGUUCGCUAUUACAUUUUAAUCUGCUCAACUAUAUCUCUUCAUAUUUUCGGGUUCUUUUGUAAGAUUUUGUGAUUUUGAUAGAGUUGACUUUUAAGUUUAAAAAAAUAGUACUCAUUUAAAAGUUGCCAAUUUUUUUUUAUUAUUCCAUGAUGAUUGACAAGUACAGUCAAACUUUUUUAUCAAGGAAAGCAAGGAGAAAACACAUAAUAGUCUUCUAUAUAAAUGUUAGUCGUUUUGAUAGUUUCAUGGAAAUAACAUGAAUCUUGCAUUUUUUCAGAAUUUAAAUGGCUGAGCAUGAAAACAUUGUACUAAUUGAAAUUAUUUGUCUUUUAUAAAGUCAAACUGUUUAUGGAAGUAACAAGGCUUGAAUUUUACAAUAGGGAUUUGUCUUAUACUAAUCUUUCCUUAAGCUUUCGGUAUAAUUGUUAAGAAUAUUAGCCAAUAUUAAGACAUUCUUUUUUCCAAAAAAUAAAUAUUGAAAUUAUAAAAAUGCCCUUUGCCCUUCCUAAGAAAUGUCAGCUAGACAUGUUAAAAUAAAAGGCAGAUAUUCAAAGCACAGGUACUUGUUUUUGAAAAGAAUUUGCAAUUUACAAAUGAUUUACCUUAAAAUAACACAUAUAACAGUAUAAAGGAUUUUUUUAGAGACAUUUGUGCCUGUGAUACAUACAGCACAGUGAAUUUAGGGCUUCGACACUGCCUCAUAUGCCCUUUACCGUCAGGCGUCAAACGGUCAAUUUCGGCUACGGUUAGCGUCAAAUUGGUUAAAAUUAUACCGUGAUUUAUCAAAAUAUCUUUAUUGUGAUACGUCAGAGGUCUCAAAUAAUUAUCGUUAUGGUUAUUUCUGGGGAAACAAUAGCAUGAUUCGUCAAAUUCAGCGGAUUUUUUAAGCGUCUAAAAGGAAGUGUACAUUUUAUUGUCAUGCAAUUAAAAUUACCAUUAAUAUUAUUUGGCAAGAAUUUUUACCGUUAACGUCAAUUGGCAAGAAUUUUUUCCGUUAUAUGUCAUGAAGGUACCCCCAUCACUACCCUUAUAUAUAGAUGUGGAGGUGCUUACAAGACCAGAUUUUCGCAUUUAUUAAAUAACAAGUUUGAAAACUUUUUUUCAUGCUGGUUAUCGUUUAAGAAAUUUUUACUGACAGUACAAGCCCCUCAUGGUUAGUCAAGGUUGUUAAAAUACUAUGUUCGUUUAAAGAGACUUAAAAUAUAUGCAAAUUAUACAGCUAUAAUAGCAUCAUAUUGAUAAAAAGAAUACAAUUCCAGUUAACCGUACUUCUAUUCAAUAAAUUUUGGUAAUAUCUGUUAUCACUAUAUAUGUACAUUAAAAUGAUAUUCUUUGUAAUUUGUAUCAUUUAGCAGUGUACCACAUUUUAGAUCAAAACUUAAAUUGUUGUUUAAAAUGAUUUAUCAAGUACAUAAACUUUUUGUUUAGAUGCACAAAUACAUCCUAUACUAGCUGUGAUCUGGACUUUUGUGAAAUCAUUUCAGUGUAUUGUCAUCACAGUAUUAGAAAGAGCAUUGCUUCAGCUGUUAGCACAGAAAAUACCAGGAAAAACUAUAUGCUCAUUUGUUAAUAAAGUUUGGGACCAAACCCCAUCCUUAACCCCCCCCUACCACAAAUCAUCUUUGAUAAGUUUAUUCUUUUUGGCUUCUUUUUCCAUUAAAGCUUGCACAACCAUGCUUUGUAUAUUGUUGGAACGCAUAAAAUGCAUAAUGACUUUUUUUGUAGUUUAUAUUUUUCGUUUUAAACUUGGAAAGUGUUGAAUCCAGAUAUACUAGUAUUGAAUGUGACAAUCAAAAUUUCACCUAGAUUACUUUGUUUGCAGCUGUUUGAUUGUAACAACAAUGUACUUAAAUGGACAGAAUAUGCAUGAUUCUGAUGUGUACAUUUUUAAAAUUUCCUCUUGGAAACUAUUGUUAAAAUUAAAUCUAGCACUGAAAUCUAUUUUUGGACUGUCUUACAUAUGUUUAAGUUUAGUUCUAUAAUCAUAUUUCCCUGUAUUUCUUUCUUUGUGGAUGCUAAGUUAUUCUUAUGACUUCUUUAUUUUAAUGAGUUUUCAUAUUUACAAUAACCAUUUUCACUUAAAAUUUAAUUUAAAGAAAACAUAACUAUAAAUACUAGUAGUCAAUAACACAAUUUUCUUAAUGCAGUCAUAUCCCCUAAAAAUUCAUUUAAAUGAAAUAUGCUCUGCAACAAUUAUAGGCAUGAAAAAAUUGUGCCCAUGUUAUAUUGAAUUUACAACGAGAUAAUCAAAUCCUCAGCAGCCAACAUAUGUCAAAAGAUAUUUUUUAUUUUUUAGAAAAUGUAAAUUUAUGGCAUAUUAACGUCCAGUUAUAUGUCCAACAUAAAUAUUUAUUACACAAGUUAUGGCAAAUUUUCUGAUCAAAUAAUUUCUCAAUGAUUAUGGAUUGUACAUCUGACAAUGAGAAGAGCAAACAAAUGACACUAAAAACAAAAGGACGUCUAGAGAUCAAACUUUGCAACAUAAGUAUUAUACAUGUGUGUAUUAUAUUCAGAUUAAAGUUUAUUAAGCAACAUAAGUUUUGCAUUCAUAUGAUUUAUAGAAAUUUAAAAGCAUAGAAUGAAGUUGAUGAUUUUUGUUAUGUAUAAUAUUUUUUCUAAUUUACCGAAUUAUUAUUUCUCAGAGAUUUAUAUUUUUGUAGAACGUUUGUAAAUGUCAUGUCUUUUUAUCAAUAGAUGUGUAUUUAUAGCUCUAA
RNAcentral lists this long non-coding RNA (3990 nucleotides) under Mytilus galloprovincialis (Mediterranean mussel). Lineage: Eukaryota; Metazoa; Mollusca; Bivalvia; Mytilida; Mytilidae. The record is from RNAcentral.